This 318-nucleotide ribosomal RNA is filed under the name Triticum aestivum (bread wheat). RNAcentral describes it as "partial small subunit ribosomal RNA". Lineage: Eukaryota; Viridiplantae; Streptophyta; Magnoliopsida; Poales; Poaceae. The record is from RNAcentral.
AUGAGGCAGUAUUGGUGGUGGGGGGGAGGGGUGGAAAACGGUAAGAGGAAGAUGGCAUGGCUAAGCUGGGAGAGGUUAUGCUGCCCAAGGCCAUGAGGGGGCAUGGGAUUCCGUGACAUGAGGGCUUUUAAUCAGGCUCUGCUGGCCAAGCAAGCCUGGCGCCUACUGGAUAGCCCAGCUAGCUUAUGUGCAAGGUUAUUGAAGGCUAAAUAUUAUCCGAGGGGAAAUUUGCUUGACACUGUGUUUUCAUCAAACUCUUCGGCGGUGUGGAAAGGUAUUGUUCAUGGGCUUGAGCUGGUGAAGAAAGGCAUUAUAUAG